UCUCUAUGAUGUCAAUAGAUGAUGAGACUGAUAUAUCCAUUCUUAACCUUGAUGAUAAUUGAGGCAUUUGUCUGAGAGGA
Molecule: small nucleolar RNA, 80 nt
Organism: Papaver somniferum (opium poppy)
Lineage: Eukaryota; Viridiplantae; Streptophyta; Magnoliopsida; Ranunculales; Papaveraceae
Source: RefSeq, a predicted model, not a curated record